RNAcentral lists this ribosomal RNA (438 nucleotides) under uncultured Alphaproteobacteria bacterium. Its description in RNAcentral is "bacterial SSU rRNA". It matches the Rfam family "Bacterial small subunit ribosomal RNA", at positions 43 to 527 of the family's 1533-position model. Lineage: Bacteria; Pseudomonadati; Pseudomonadota; Alphaproteobacteria. The record is from RNAcentral.
CAGGCCUAACACAUGCAAGUCGAGCGCCGUAGCAAUACGGAGCGGCAGACGGGAGAGUAACACGUGGGAACGUGCCCUUCAGUCCGGAACAACCCAGGGAAACUUGGGCUAAUACCGGAUACGUCCGUAAGGAGAAAGAUUUAUCGCUGAAGGAUCGGCCCGCGUCUGAUUAGCUAGUUGGUGGGGUAACGGCCCACCAAGGCGACGAUCAGUAGCUGGUCUGAGAGGAUGAUCAGCCUCACUGGGACUGAGACACGGCCCAGACUCCUACGGGAGGCAGCAGUGGGGAAUCUUGGACAAUGGGCGCAAGCCUGAUCCAGCCAUGCCGCGUGAGUGAUGAAGGCCUUAGGGUUGUAAAGCUCUUUCGACGGGGACGAUAAUGACGGUACCCGUAGAAGAAGCCCCGGCUAACUUCGUGCCAGCAGCCGCGGUAAUACA